UUUCAGGCACUUGAGGGUACUUACCGCUGAUCCAGGAGAGAUUUGGUCCAAUUCGUCCCUUAGCUUCCAGAUAUUACUUACCAUUUUUCCACAAGGUACAACUUCGUUGGAGUUCAUUUUUGUUAUUUUUUAUAAAUAAA
Molecule: long non-coding RNA, 140 nt
Organism: Lucilia cuprina (Australian sheep blowfly)
Lineage: Eukaryota; Metazoa; Arthropoda; Insecta; Diptera; Calliphoridae
Exons: 2
Source: RefSeq, a predicted model, not a curated record